AGCGAACGCUGGCGGCAGGCCUAACACAUGCAAGUCGAACGGCUCUUCGGAGCAGUGGCGGACGGGUGAGUAACGCGUGGGAACGUGCCCUUUGGUUCGGAACAACACAGGGAAACUUGUGCUAAUACCGGAUGUGCCCUUCGGGGGAAAGAUUUAUCGCCAUUGGAGCGGCCCGCGUUGGAUUAGGUAGUUGGUGGGGUAAAGGCCCACCAAGCCUACGAUCCAUAGCUGGUCUGAGAGGAUGAUCAGCCACACUGGGACUGAGACACGGCCCAGACUCCUACGGGAGGCAGCAGUGGGGAAUCUUGCGCAAUGGGCGAAAGCCUGACGCAGCCAUGCCGCGUGUAUGAUGAAGGUCUUAGGAUUGUAAAAUACUUUCACCGGGGAAGAUAAUGACGGUACCCGGAGAAGAAGCCCCGGCUAACUUCGUGCCAGCAGCCGCCGUAAUAC
This 450-nucleotide ribosomal RNA is filed under the name uncultured bacterium. RNAcentral describes it as "bacterial SSU rRNA". It matches the Rfam family "Bacterial small subunit ribosomal RNA", at positions 29 to 526 of the family's 1533-position model. The record is from RNAcentral.